UACGGGGGGGGCAAGCGUUGUUCGGAAUUACUGGGCGUAAAGGGCUCGUAGGCGGCCAACUAAGUCAUACGUGAAAUCCCUCGGCUUAACCGGGGAACUGCGUCUGAUACUGGAUGGCUUGAGUUCGGGAGAGGGAUGCGGAAUUCCAGGUGUAGCGGUGAAAUGCGUAGAUAUCUGGAGGAACACCGGUGGCGAAGGCGGGUCUCUGGGCCGAUACUGACGCUGAGGAGCGAAAGCAUGGGGAGCGAACAGG
RNAcentral lists this ribosomal RNA (253 nucleotides) under uncultured bacterium. Its description in RNAcentral is "partial 16S ribosomal RNA". It matches the Rfam family "Bacterial small subunit ribosomal RNA", at positions 524 to 776 of the family's 1533-position model. The record is from RNAcentral.